RNAcentral lists this ribosomal RNA (396 nucleotides) under uncultured bacterium. RNAcentral describes it as "bacterial SSU rRNA". It matches the Rfam family "Bacterial small subunit ribosomal RNA", at positions 975 to 1375 of the family's 1533-position model. The record is from RNAcentral.
CCACCUUUGACAUGUACGGAAUUCGCCAGAGAUGGCUUAGUGCUCGAAAGAGAACCGUAACACAGGUGCUGCAUGGCUGUCGUCAGCUCGUGUCGUGAGAUGUUGGGUUAAGUCCCGCAACGAGCGCAACCCUUGUCAUUAGUUGCUACGCAAGAGCACUCUAAUGAGACUGCCGGUGACAAACCGGAGGAAGGUGGGGAUGACGUCAAGUCCUCAUGGCCCUUAUGGGUAGGGCUACACACGUCAUACAAUGGUACAUACAGAGGGCCGCCAACCCGCGAGGGGGAGCUAAUCCCAGAAAGUGUAUCGUAGUCCGGAUUGUAGUCUGCAACUCGACUACAUGAAGUUGGAAUCGCUAGUAAUCGCGAAUCAGAAUGUCGCGGUGAAUACGUUCCC